AAAAGGAAUAGUGAGAGUUUGUGGUAGUGUAAGGGAGGGCGUAAAUCACUUGCAGACAAAUUUGAGUAUGUUAUGCAUGGAAAGCUGUAUAAGAUCUCCGAAGAUUCUGGAACCAACGUCAAAGUCUUUUGUGCAGAGAG
Molecule: non-coding RNA, 140 nt
Organism: Amborella trichopoda
Lineage: Eukaryota; Viridiplantae; Streptophyta; Magnoliopsida; Amborellales; Amborellaceae
Source: RefSeq, a predicted model, not a curated record